AGAUUGAACGCUGGCGGCAGGCCUAACACAUGCAAGUCGAGCGGUAGAGAGGUGCUUGCAUCUCUUGAGAGCGGCGGACGGGUGAGUAAUGCCUAGGAAUCUGCCUAGUGGUGGGGGAUAACGUUCGGAAACGGACGCUAAUACCGCAUACGUCCUACGGGAGAAAGCGGGGGACCUUCGGGCCUCGCGCCAUUAGAUGAGCCUAGGUCGGAUUAGCUAGUUGGUGAGGUAAUGGCUCACCAAGGCGACGAUCCGUAACUGGUCUGAGAGGAUGAUCAGUCACACUGGAACUGAGACACGGUCCAGACUCCUACGGGAGCAGCAGUGGGGAAUA
Molecule: ribosomal RNA, 334 nt
Filed under: uncultured soil bacterium
Lineage: Bacteria
Description: bacterial SSU rRNA
Rfam family: Bacterial small subunit ribosomal RNA
Source: RNAcentral